AUUCCUCAAAUCAAUUUACAUCUCGAAUCAAAAUAAGUUUGAUGAAACCAAUUAUCAAAUAAUAACAAAAAUGACAAACGAAUUUGAUCAUCCUAGAAGAGGAGUUGGGCCUGGAGACGAAGUUGAAGAUGAAGCUUCACUAGAAAUAGGUGCUAGGCCUGGGCCUGGAGUUGAAGCUUCACUAGAAAUAGAAGAUGGGCUUAGGAUUGAAGCUAAAGCUUCAUUUGAAUCAGGAACUUCACUAGUAAUAGGAGGAGUUGGGCUUGGAGCUAAAGCUGAAGCUUCACUAGAAAUAGGGCCAAGGGCUGCCCCAGAGCUAGACAUCAACUCCACCAUUGAACGUCUUGGGUUGAUGCGUUGAGCCUCACACAAAUCUGGUAAAAAUACUCCUGCAACCAAGCAUUGGAUAAUAUAUCAUUAGUUUUUAUUCCUCAUUUAACACUUAGC
This 447-nucleotide long non-coding RNA is filed under the name Gossypium barbadense (sea-island cotton). Its description in RNAcentral is "long non-coding RNA (GBAR_LNC022342)". The record is from RNAcentral. Lineage: Eukaryota; Viridiplantae; Streptophyta; Magnoliopsida; Malvales; Malvaceae.